CCUCCUCUGAUAACAAAAGUGAGGCUUCCUUCUCCUGCUUUGCUAAAGAUUUUUCACCAAAAGAUCACAAACUGACAUGGCUGAAAGACAAUGUGGACAUCGACAACAAAAUAUACGAGAUCACAACACCUGUUGUGGAAAGAACGGACGAGAGCGGAAAUACUGUAUACAGUGUGGCAAGUUUUCUCAGUGUACUGUCUGAUGGCUUGAGUCAGGGCACUCAGUUUACAUGUCUGUUUGAGGGGAAAGGUGAAGGCGGCAUUAAAACAUAUGUGAAUGAAUCUGUGAGCUACGGUUGUCCAAACACACCCCAAUGUCCUGGAGGAGAUUCGGACAUAACUAUCAUUGGCCCUGCAAAUGAGGACAUGUUUAUGAGCGGAAAAGGAAAGAUAGUAUGUCAAGUCCUGGAAAACAAACCAUCUGUUCUGAGUGUUUUGUGGCAG
Long non-coding RNA from Larimichthys crocea (large yellow croaker), 443 nucleotides. RefSeq lists it as uncharacterized. Lineage: Eukaryota; Metazoa; Chordata; Actinopteri; Sciaenidae. The record is from RefSeq and is a predicted model, not a curated record. The transcript has 2 exons.